CCUAUACUGGGGGAUAGCCCGAUGAAAGUUGGAUUAAUACCGCAUAUAGCUAUAUAGUUGCAUGAUUAUGUAGUGAAAGAUUUAUUGGUAUAGGAGGAGUCUGCGGCACAUUAGCUAGUAGGUGAGGUAAAGGCUUACCUAGGCGACGAUGUGUAGCCGGUCUGAGAGGAUGAACGGCCACAAUGGAACUGAGACACGGUCCAUACUCCUACGGGAGGCAGCAGUGGGGAAUAUUGCACAAUGGGGGAAACCCUGAUGCAGCAACGCCGCGUGAGUGAAGAAGGUUUUCGGAUUGUAAAGCUCUGUUAGCAGGGAAGAGGAAGGACGGUACCUGCAGAGGAAGCCACGGCUAACUACGUGCCAGCAGCCGCGGUAAUACGUAGGUGGCAAGCGUUGUUCGGAAUAACUGGGCGUAAAGGAUGCGUAGGCGGUUAAACAAGUUAUAUGUUAAAUAUAUAGGCUUAACCUGUAGAAAGCAUAUAAAACUGUUUAACUAGAGUGCAGGAGAGGUAAGUGGAAUUCCUAGUGUAGCGGUGAAAUGCGUAGAGAUUAGGAAGAACACCAGUGGCGAAGGCGACUUACUGGACUGUAACUGACGCU
This 600-nucleotide ribosomal RNA is filed under the name uncultured bacterium. RNAcentral's name for it is "bacterial SSU rRNA". It matches the Rfam family "Bacterial small subunit ribosomal RNA", at positions 130 to 747 of the family's 1533-position model. The record is from RNAcentral.